RNAcentral lists this ribosomal RNA (497 nucleotides) under uncultured bacterium. RNAcentral's name for it is "partial 16S ribosomal RNA". It matches the Rfam family "Bacterial small subunit ribosomal RNA", at positions 28 to 507 of the family's 1533-position model. The record is from RNAcentral.
GAUGAACGCUGGCGGCGUGCCUAAUACAUGCAAGUCGAGCGAACAGACGAGGAGCUUGCUCCUCUGACGUUAGCGGCGGACGGGUGAGUAACACGUGGAUAACCUACCUAUAAGACUGGGAUAUCUUCGGGAAACCGGAGCUAAUACCGGAUAAUAUAUUGAACCGCAUGGUUCAAUAGUGAAAGACGGUUUUGCUGUCACUUAUAGAUGGAUCCGCGCCGCAUUAGCUAGUUGGUAAGGUAACGGCUUACCAAGGCAACGAUGCGUAGCCGACCUGAGAGGGUGAUCGGCCACACUGGAACUGAGACACGGUCCAGACUCCUACGGGAGGCAGCAGUAGGGAAUCUUCCGCAAUGGGCGAAAGCCUGACGGAGCAACGCCGCGUGAGCGAUGAAGGUCUUCGGAUCGUAAAACUCUGUUAUUAGGGAAGAACAAAUGUGUAAGUAACUAUGCACGUCUUGACGGUACCUAAUCAGAAAGCCACGGCUAACUACGUG